AUCUAUUGCCACACCACCCUGAACACACCUGACCUCAUCUGAUCGCAGAAGCUAAGCAGGGUUGGGCCUGGCUAGUGCUUGGAUGGGAGACCACAGAUUCAUGCCAGGGGUUGUGCUGA
Molecule: non-coding RNA, 119 nt
Organism: Fukomys damarensis (Damara mole-rat)
Lineage: Eukaryota; Metazoa; Chordata; Mammalia; Rodentia; Bathyergidae
Source: Rfam